CCCCCGGUAUUAUUGGCGUUAUGGGUUGCGAACGAGCUUAGCGUUGUUCAUUUUUUUUCACAACACCCCCGUAAAAAAUACAACACGCCCCACCGAACAUUUCAUUUGAGGGCCUUCAAGGACAGAAAAAACGCCCCAAAAUGCAACAAAAAUAGCUUCAAGGCGCCAAAUCAGGGCAA
This 179-nucleotide small RNA is filed under the name Pseudomonas sp. M47T1. RNAcentral's name for it is "Pseudomonas sRNA P1". It matches the Rfam family "Pseudomonas sRNA P1". Rfam says of the family: There appears to be two related copies of P1 sRNA in the P.aeruginosa PA01 genome and both copies appear to be located upstream of predicted glutamine synthetase genes. This sRNA appears to be conserved amongst several Pseudomonas species. Lineage: Bacteria; Pseudomonadati; Pseudomonadota; Gammaproteobacteria; Pseudomonadales; Pseudomonadaceae. The record is from Rfam by way of RNAcentral.